RNAcentral lists this ribosomal RNA (466 nucleotides) under uncultured bacterium. RNAcentral describes it as "partial 16S ribosomal RNA". It matches the Rfam family "Bacterial small subunit ribosomal RNA", at positions 28 to 507 of the family's 1533-position model. The record is from RNAcentral.
GAUGAACGCUGGCGGCGUGCUUAACACAUGCAAGUCGAACGAUGAAGCCCAGCUUGCUGGGUGGAUUAGUGGCGAACGGGUGAGUAACACGUGAGUAACCUGCCCUUAACUCUGGGAUAAGCCUGGGAAACUGGGUCUAAUACCGGAUAUGAGCGUCCACCGCAUGGUGGGUGUUGGAAAGCUUUAUCGGUUUUGGAUGGACUCGCGGCCUAUCAGCUUUUUGGUGUGGUAAUGGCUCACCAAGGCGACGACGGGUAGCCGGCCUGAGAGGGGGACCGGCCACAUUGGGACUGAGACACGGCCCAGACUCCUACGGGAGGCAGCAGUGGGGAAUAUUGCACAAUGGGCGCAAGCCUGAUGCAGCGACGCCGCGUGAGGGAUGACGGCCUUCGGGUUGUAAACGUCUUUCAGUAGGGAAGAAGCGAAAGUGACGGUACCUGCAGAAGAAGCACCGGCUAACUACGUG